This is a non-coding RNA of Echinostoma caproni, 45 nucleotides long. NCBI's taxonomy places the organism in Eukaryota, Metazoa, Platyhelminthes, Trematoda, Plagiorchiida, Echinostomatidae. The record is from Rfam.
GCACUACUGAAGAGACCAAACCAGGUCGAAACAGCUGGCCAGUGC